GGGCGUUCAGUUGCUGGGCGUAGACCCGAAACCAGGUGAUCUAUCCAUGGCCAGGAUGAAGGUGCGGUAACACGUACUGGAGGUCCGAACCCACUAACGUUGAAAAGUUAGGGGAUGAGCUGUGGAUAGGGGUGAAAGGCUAAACAAACCUGGAAAUAGCUGGUUCUCUCCGAAAACUAUUUAGGUAGUGCCUCGUGUCUCACCUUCGGGGGUAGAGCACUGUCAUGGUUGGGGGGUCUAUUGCAGAUUACCCCGCCAUAGCAAACUCCGAAUACCGAAGAGUGCAAUCACGGGAGACAGACAUCGGGUGCUAACGUCCGGUGUCAAGAGGGAAACAACCCAGACCGCCAGCUAAGGUCCCCAAAUAUAGCUAAGUGGGAAACGAAGUGGGAAGGCUAAAACAGUCAGGAGGUUGGCUUAGAAGCAGCCACCCUUUAAAGAAAGCGUAAUAGCUCACUGAUCGAGUCGUCCUGCGCGGAAGAUGUAACGGGGCUAAGCUAUAUACCGAAGCUGCGGAUGCG
Molecule: ribosomal RNA, 521 nt
Filed under: Burkholderia cenocepacia
Lineage: Bacteria; Pseudomonadati; Pseudomonadota; Betaproteobacteria; Burkholderiales; Burkholderiaceae
Description: partial 23S ribosomal RNA
Rfam family: Bacterial large subunit ribosomal RNA
Source: RNAcentral